Molecule: long non-coding RNA, 224 nt
Organism: Camelina sativa (false flax)
Lineage: Eukaryota; Viridiplantae; Streptophyta; Magnoliopsida; Brassicales; Brassicaceae
Source: RefSeq, a predicted model, not a curated record
GGAAUUGGACAGUGGCAAGUUGUCGAGACUUCUCAGGCCGCUCGUCUCAUAAUGGUUUUUCUCGACAGUAGCCAUAGUGGCGCCACCAUGGAGGAUACAGAAUGAUGACACAACAACUAACAACAAAUGAUGAUGAUGAUGAUACAAUUUGUGGUUUUGUUUCAUCAUUUGAUGUUUAAGAAUCAGACAAUUAAUUUUAUCAAAGUUGUUAUCAUUAAAUUUAA